Molecule: ribosomal RNA, 389 nt
Filed under: uncultured bacterium
Lineage: Bacteria
Description: bacterial SSU rRNA
Rfam family: Bacterial small subunit ribosomal RNA
Source: RNAcentral
AUUGAACGCUGGCGGAAUGCUUUACACAUGCAAGUCGAGCGGCAGCGCGGGGCAACCUGGCGGCGAGCGGCGAACGGGUGAGUAAUGCAUCGGAACAUGUCCAUUCGUGGGGGAUAGCCCGGCGAAAGCCGGAUUAAUACCGCAUACGCCCCGAGGGGGAAAGGCGGGGACCGUCGCAAGAGGCCUCGCGCGAAUGGGUUGGCCGAUGUCCGAUUAGCUAGUUGGUGAGGUAAAGGCUCACCAAGGCGAUGAUCGGUAGCUGGUCUGAGAGGAUGAUCAGCCACACUGGGACUGAGACACGGCCCAGACUCCUACGGGAGGCAGCAGUGGGGAAUUUUGGACAAUGGGGGAAACCCUGAUCCAGCCAUUCCGCGUGAGUGAAGAAGGCC